UACGUAGGGGGCAAGCGUUAUCCGGAAUUACUGGGUGUAAAGGGUGCGUAGGCGGGAUGUAAAGUCAGAUGUGAAAUACCAAGGCUCAACCUUGGGGCUGCAUUUGAAACUUACGUUCUUGAGUGAAGUAGAGGCAAGCGGAAUUCCCAGUGUAGCGGUAAAAUGCGUAGAUAUUGGGAGGAACACCAGUGGCGAAGGCGGCUUGCUGGGCUUUAACUGACGCUGAUGCACGAAAGCAUGGGGAGCAAACAGG
RNAcentral lists this ribosomal RNA (253 nucleotides) under uncultured bacterium. Its description in RNAcentral is "partial 16S ribosomal RNA". It matches the Rfam family "Bacterial small subunit ribosomal RNA", at positions 524 to 776 of the family's 1533-position model. The record is from RNAcentral.